GGUUAUAGUUGCGAGACCACGCCUUAGAAGACCCUGAAGGGCUUCCCUUGUGUGAUUCCCUCCAAGGGUCUCAACCUGUCCGGCACCUGCAAUUCCAUGAUAUCAUUAUCCCUGUGAAUACAACAGCCAGGACAGAUUUUGAGGGCGCGCAAAGAAUUUAGAGGGAUUUAAUAAAGGCUAUAUUCUAAGGAACCAAAUAUUACCAAUAUUAAAGGAGAUCAAGCUAUACAACAUACCUUCAGCUGUGAAAUACUGUUCCUUGAAGCCUUCAGUCCAGAUAUGAUGCCUUUCACUUCCUCGUUGACUAUCAACAGCAAAGUCAUCGCACUCAAGCGAACAGACCACUCCAUAUUUACCAAUUAUAAUAGCAAUGCUUAUAAGUUAUUUUAUAACAGCACGAACUGAAACUGUAAUUAAGAUACUAGUAUGUUGGAUUUAUAAUGUGUUGUGACGAUUAUGUAUUAUAUCAUAUCAGUUGACGAGUGAUGUAACGCGCACCUGCAAAGUUUAUACUCCGCCCACAGGUUGGCAAAAAUAGAUGGGAUUCGUAUAAGCUCCGCCCAUAUAAAGACGGUGAACAUAAUCCUCGAUCUUAAUGAUAAUCAUGCACUAUAUCAAAUAUAAUUAUAAAUUAUGUCUGAAUAAAACAUAAGCUUGCAAGUAAAUGCAUUUUAGUAACGAAUAUACUGUAGUAAUUAUUUGUUAUUAUUACUUUAAACGAACUCGGGAGUAGAAUUCAAUCUAACGGCUCGGUAUAUGUGGUAACCACAAAGAUCUCCUAACCCAGCAAACAUGCACAUAUGGGUCCCAUAUGGGAUGUUUCUGGGCAAACCCAUAUGGGUAAGCCCAUAUGGGAGUCAUUUGGGACCAAUAUGGGCUAGCCCAUAUGGGAAUGCCCACAAGGGUCCCAUAUAGGUCCCAUAUUAUUGCGCUAUCGGGCAAAUAUGUAAACUUGUAUUUAUUUGAUUAAAAACUCAUUUCUUAAAACGUAUGUAGAACUUACUUGAUCUAAACUGCUAAUAUUUUACCCAAAAAUAGAAAAUCGAUGCAUAAGCAAAUAAUAUGCGGCCCAUAUGGGUCCCAUACGGGUCCCAUAUGGGAGUUAUUUGGGAGCUAUAUGGGCUUGCCCAUGUGGGAAUGCCGAUAAGGGUCCCAUAUAGGUCCCAUAUUAUUGCGCUAUCACGAAAAAGAUGUAAACUAGUAUUUAUUUGAUUAAAAACUCAUUUCUUAAAACGUAUGCUGGACUAACUUGAUCUAAACUGCUAAUAUUUUACCCAAAAAUAGAAAAUCAAUGCAUAAGCAAGUAAUAUGCAGUCCAUAUAGGUCCCAUAUGGGUCCCAUUUGGGCCGCCCAACAAAGCACAAAAUCAGCUACCGGGCUGUUUCUGGGCAAACUCAUAUGGGUAAGCCCAAAUGGGAGUCAUUUGGGACCUAUAUGGGUUAGCCCAUAUGGGAAUGCCCUUAAGGGUCCCAUAUAGGUCCCAUAUUAUUGCGCUAUCAGGAUAAAGAUAUAAACUUUUAUUUAUUUGAUUAAAAACUCAUUUCUUAAAACGUAUGUAUGACAAACUUGAUCUCAACUGCUAAUAUUUUACCCCAAAAUAUAAAAUCAAUGCAUAAGCAAAUAAUAUGCAGUCCAUAUGGGUCCCAUACGGGUCCCAUUUGGGCCGCCCAACAAAGUACAAAAUCAGCUAUCGGGCGCACAUUUUUUGAAAAUUCUGUUUUUGAUAUUGCUUUGUUUUAAAUAAUGUAUAUACUAUGAUUAAUAUGUAGUUAUUUUCAAGAGAUAAUUUUAAUUUAAAUAAUCGCGCAGAAAAAUAAAGUAUUUAAAUAAUAUGCGCAUGCGCAGAUGUUAAUUCCGCCUCGCCUCGCAUUCAAAACAAAAACACUCGAAACGAAAAUAAAAUAUUCACCACCGCCUCGUUUGCCAACAUCGUCUUUACAAGGAAUGUCCAGCAGUGCAUGACAGAGGCCGGUCACUCCCAUUAAGUCCAGGCAGCUGAAGAGCCUUCCCAAAGACAGUUCAUAGGACAAAAUGCAGUUACACAGAUUUUAACGGUGUUGGAAACAAUGAGAGACAAGAACAGGGAAAUGAAGCGGAUGCUGCAGCAGCUCUUGGCUAGGUCAGCUACUGAUGACGAGCCAAUGCAACUGCCAGAGAACAUCAUUCUUCCAAUUGGAACAUUUGAGCAAAUGGAUGAGUUUGAAUAGCAUCUUGGUGAUGAAGCUACGAUCCAUCUUUUCUAGGACUGCUGCAUAGUUCAAGCUUUUUUAUCAAAUAUAUUAAGCAAUGUUGUAAAUGUAAUUGACAGUUUUUUCUCCAUUAAUCCUAAACCAUUCCUUUAAGGCUCAUCUUCUAAGAAAGCAAACAAUCUUUUUUAUCUGGAAAUGAAACAGUAUAUAUUCCUUUGCAAAAGAAGAAACAGCAUUCCAGUUUUUGAAGGUUUUAAAAGACAUAUAUAUAUAUAUAUAUAUAUAUCAUGUGCAAUUACGAAAAACACUAGAAUGUAUGAAGAUAUCAAAGAUAAUAAUAUGGACUUGUUCUCGAAAAAGGAUUUGCCAUUUAUUUCAGUUUUGGAUUUUUUUGCAGGGUUUUUAAUUUGUAGUUUAUAAAAUAUUUUGUUUAGUCUUGCAAGUAUGUUUUCCACGAAUGUUCUUUGAGUACAUGGUGUGUUAUUUGUAUUGGUUAAAGAUUUAAUAUGCAUGUGUAUGUUUUGUAGUAAUGUGUAGUAAAUCAGGAAAAUACUUGAAGGUAUUCUGUAUAUGUAAAAAUAAUAGAAGUCCUUAAUUCUAUAGUCGUAUAACUGGUCGACAUAUAUAAUGUUAUAGAAAAACGUCUUAUUGUUUGAAGUUAUGUCUUUAUUGUUCCAUAAAAUACUGUUGGUUUGGGUUUAUAUAUUAUGAGUAACAUUACUCCAUGCAGAUAGAACAUUAGAUAGAAACAUGUUUUCGUUAGCUACUUUAUGUAAAAUACUUUUGCUGAUGUUACAUUCAAAAAGUUAGGAAUCACCAUAUUAUUUUAGAAUUUUCUGGUAGAAUAGUUAACGUGGGAUCCUCCUGCUAUGUAUGUAUGAAUCCAUGUAUAUGUGUGUAAUACUUUAUGUGAAUAAAAGUUGAGAGUACUUUAAUAAA
This is a long non-coding RNA of Dreissena polymorpha, 3128 nucleotides long. RefSeq lists it as uncharacterized. Lineage: Eukaryota; Metazoa; Mollusca; Bivalvia; Myida; Dreissenidae. The record is from RefSeq and is a predicted model, not a curated record. The transcript has 5 exons.